This 497-nucleotide ribosomal RNA is filed under the name uncultured bacterium. Its description in RNAcentral is "partial 16S ribosomal RNA". It matches the Rfam family "Bacterial small subunit ribosomal RNA", at positions 28 to 507 of the family's 1533-position model. The record is from RNAcentral.
GAUGAACGCUGGCGGCGUGCCUAAUACAUGCAAGUCGAGCGAACGGACGAGAAGCUUGCUUUUCUGAUGUUAGCGGCGGACGGGUGAGUAACACGUGGAUAACCUACCUAUAAGACUGGGAUAACUUCGGGAAACCGGAGCUAAUACCGGAUAAUAUUUUGAACCGCAUGGUUCAGAAGUGAAAGACGGUCUUGCUGUCACUUAUAGAUGGAUCCGCGCUGCAUUAGCUAGUUGGUAAGGUAACGGCUUACCAAGGCAACGAUGCAUAGCCGACCUGAGAGGGUGAUCGGCCACACUGGAACUGAGACACGGUCCAGACUCCUACGGGAGGCAGCAGUAGGGAAUCUUCCGCAAUGGGCGAAAGCCUGACGGAGCAACGCCGCGUGAGUGAUGAAGGUCUUCGGAUCGUAAAACUCUGUUAUUAGGGAAGAACAUAUGUGUAAGUAACUGUGCACAUCUUGACGGUACCUAAUCAGAAAGCCACGGCUAACUACGUG